Molecule: transfer RNA, 68 nt
Filed under: Peruphasma schultei
Lineage: Eukaryota; Metazoa; Arthropoda; Insecta; Phasmatodea; Pseudophasmatidae
Description: tRNA-Val
Rfam family: tRNA
About the family: Transfer RNA (tRNA) molecules are approximately 80 nucleotides in length. Their secondary structure includes four short double-helical elements and three loops (D, anti-codon, and T loops).
Source: RNAcentral
CAGAAAUUAGUUUAAAGAAAAUAAUUCAUUUACAUUGAAUAGAUUUUGGUGCAAUCUUAUAUUUCUGA